Molecule: transfer RNA, 72 nt
Organism: Caenorhabditis briggsae
Lineage: Eukaryota; Metazoa; Nematoda; Chromadorea; Rhabditida; Rhabditidae
Rfam family: tRNA
About the family: Transfer RNA (tRNA) molecules are approximately 80 nucleotides in length.
Source: Rfam
GCCCUUAUAGCUCAGUGGCAGAGCGCUGGUCUUGUAAACCAGAGGUCCGUAGUUCGAUCCUGCGUGGGGGCA